UCUGGUGUCAGCCGCCGCGGUAAAACCAGCACCUCAAGUGGUCAGGAUGAUUAUUGGGCCUAAAGCAUCCGUAGCCUGCUUUGUUAGUUUUCGGUUAAAUCCAUACGCUCAACGUAUGGGCUGCCGGGAAUACUGCAAAGCUAGGGAGUGGGAGAGGUAGACGGUACUCGGUAGGAAGGGGUAAAAUCCUUUGAUCUAUUGAUGACCACCUGUGGCGAAGGCGGUCUACCAGAACACGUCCGACGGUGAGGGAUGAAAGCUGGGGGAGCAAACCGGAUUAGAUACCCGGGUAGUCCCAGCUGUAAACUAUGCAAACUCGAUGAUGCAUUGGCUUGAUGCCAAUGCAGUGCCGCAGGGAAGCCGUUACGUUUGCCGCCUGGGAAGUACGUAUGCAAGUAUGAAACCUAAAG
This 410-nucleotide ribosomal RNA is filed under the name uncultured Nitrososphaerota archaeon. Its description in RNAcentral is "bacterial SSU rRNA". It matches the Rfam family "Archaeal small subunit ribosomal RNA", at positions 451 to 861 of the family's 1478-position model. Lineage: Archaea; Thermoproteati; Nitrososphaerota. The record is from RNAcentral.